Molecule: long non-coding RNA, 1136 nt
Organism: Equus quagga
Lineage: Eukaryota; Metazoa; Chordata; Mammalia; Perissodactyla; Equidae
Exons: 4
Source: RefSeq, a predicted model, not a curated record
CCGCCCAGCACAUUGAGUCAUUGAGCAAAUAUUUACUGAGUGCCUACUAUGUGCCAGGUACAGGUAGGGGAAUCACACCGGCCUUCCAGUCCUGCUCUAUUUUAAUCGCAGCAUUUAUCACUUUAUGCAAUUAUUUUGUUCGUUUUGCUGUUUGCAGAUUAUUGUCUGCCAUCCCCACUAGAAUUUAAAAGCCCUGAGAGUGGGGGUCUCGCCUGCCUUGUCCUCUGCUGUGUGCCCAGCCCCAGGGACUGGCCUGGCACUUGGACGGGAAACUGAGGCUCAGGUCCCGGCCACGCAGAAGCCACAGCAAUAAGGAAUGCCAGAGCCAGAGCAUUCUUUCUUCUAGGUUCUAUCAGUGAAAUGGGUAUAAGACAAAUUAACAGGAGAAAAACAAAUUUAAUUUCAUAUGUCCGGGAGCCCCAUAAGGAUAUGAAGACUCACAAGGCAGCCAGGAUGGCUGGUCAUGGCUGCGAGUAUCAAAUGCUGACCAAGAUAGUGGCCAAAAUCCUAAUGACACUGAUGAUGGAUGGAGCUUAAAAUCCAGAGGUCAGUUGUUCCAGAAUUGUCCCAAUAGCUCAAUGAUGUCAGCAAGGACCUAAGCUCUUUCUGUCUUUCAUUAUCCUCAGCACAUUGGCUGUUGUCCUUCACUGUGUCACCCAGUGGUCCAAAGAUGGCUCCCUCAGCUGCAAGCAUCCUUCAGCAGUUACGUUCAAAAGCAGAAAAGAAAAGAGAAAAAGAGAGCUCUCUUUGUGAGUUCUUCCUCCUGGGUUUCUCUCCAAGGGUCUCAGUGGAAACGAUUUCCCAGAAACCCUCUUGCUGGGAUCACAUGUCUGGAUCACAUGACCACCCCUGGUUGCAAAGGAGUCUGUGAAAGCAAGGAUCUGGGACAGGGCACUGGCUCAGACCCCCGUGGGUGGGGGCAGGCCAGUUGUAACAUUUGCGGAGCUCAGGGCAAGAACACAUGAUGAUAAAUAAAACAUGUCCUCACCUGCUAACCUGACAGAUACACCUUCAAAACCACGUGGAAGAUCAGGUGUGAAUUUAGAAUCCUUCAACUCCUCAGAGUCCUGUGCCAGAAUGUGGCUCCUGGCUCACCGCCCAUCCUCCUUCUCUUCCCAUCCCCGGUCCAAUCCCGU